Molecule: unclassified non-coding RNA, 339 nt
Filed under: Hevea brasiliensis (rubber tree)
Lineage: Eukaryota; Viridiplantae; Streptophyta; Magnoliopsida; Malpighiales; Euphorbiaceae
Source: RNAcentral
UUUCAAAACUAGAAAAGCAAACUAAAAUAACAGGAGGGGAAAAUCGUCUAACAACAUUAAUGCGGCACCUUACUAUUUUCAAUUCUACAUAUACCGUUUAUGAACAAAUCAUGAUACCGAAUGCCAGCGUAUAUUAGAUUUAUGAUCACCUGCAACUGGAGAAAAAAAAUCCAACCAAAACUACAAUAUCUUUAAACUACAAAGCAAAAAACAAAAUCAAUACCAAUUCCCAAUCUUACAUUAUUCUCAUUAAAAUAUAACAAGCAACGAAAACAGAGUAUAAAUCAAGAAACAAGCGUACGCAAUCAAUCCACGAUGUUCCUCUCCUCCAUCAGCCAC